ACUCAUAUUUUGCAGGGGAAAUACCAUGUCAUAAAAGUGGUUUUUCUAGGGAGAGACUCAUCCAUUGCACUGUGGGUGUGUUGCUGAUCCCUAUAAUUUUCCCAAAUGUGGGGAACUCAACUGCAUAAUUUGUGUUAAUGGGGGAUUGCCCUUG
RNAcentral lists this small nuclear RNA (154 nucleotides) under Pogona vitticeps (central bearded dragon). RNAcentral's name for it is "U1 spliceosomal RNA (ENSPVIG00000016259.1)". It matches the Rfam family "U1 spliceosomal RNA". Rfam says of the family: U1 is a small nuclear RNA (snRNA) component of the spliceosome (involved in pre-mRNA splicing). Lineage: Eukaryota; Metazoa; Chordata; Lepidosauria; Squamata; Agamidae. The record is from RNAcentral.